Molecule: ribosomal RNA, 245 nt
Filed under: uncultured bacterium
Lineage: Bacteria
Description: partial 16S ribosomal RNA
Rfam family: Bacterial small subunit ribosomal RNA
Source: RNAcentral
GACGAAGGUGGCGAGCGUUACUCGGAAUUACUAGGCGUAAAGCGUGUGUAGGCGGCUUGACAAGUCUGUUGUGAAAGCUCCUGGCUCAACUGGGAGAGGCCAAUGGAAACUGUCAGGCUUGAAUCGCGGAGAGGUCACUGGAAUUCCUGGUGUAGCGGUGAAAUGCGUAGAUAUCAGGAGGAACACCGAUGGCGAAAGCAGGUGACUGGACGCGUAUUGACGCUGAGGCACGAAAGCUAGGGGAG